GGAGAGAUGGCCGAGCGGUUUAAGGCGGCGGUCUUGAAAACCGUUGAUGGCAAAACCAUCCGGGGGUUCGAAUCCCUCUCUCUCCGCCA
This 89-nucleotide transfer RNA is filed under the name Deltaproteobacteria bacterium. RNAcentral describes it as "tRNA-Ser". It matches the Rfam family "tRNA". From Rfam's summary of the family: Transfer RNA (tRNA) molecules are approximately 80 nucleotides in length. The record is from RNAcentral. Lineage: Bacteria; Pseudomonadati; Myxococcota; Myxococcia.